RNAcentral lists this long non-coding RNA (1080 nucleotides) under Sus scrofa (pig). RNAcentral's name for it is "lncRNA (multiple genes)". Lineage: Eukaryota; Metazoa; Chordata; Mammalia; Artiodactyla; Suidae. The record is from RNAcentral.
GGACAUGGCAUGGAACGUGUGUGCGGAAAAGUUCGAACAUCAAGUGACCCUUGAAGCGCUACAACACUUAAAUGCACUCUUUCAGGAGUAUGAGAAAAGAGGAAGACAGCUGUUGGAUAUGGAGACUUUCAAAUGCAUAAUGAAGCAGAGCAUGAGGUUACAGAAUAAAAGUACUGAACAAAUAGAACAACUUUUCAUGAAAAUAGACUAUGAAGCAGUGGGCAGAAUUCAUUGGGAUGGCUUCUGCACAUAUCUGCAGUUAGCAUAUUCAGAGCAAGCUGAUGCUUUGGCUCGACAGAAAGAGGUUUCCUUCCAGCUGCCUGCUGUGCUGCAGGGACUGUCGUACGGGGGACCCGUGCUGCGCAUUCUCUCUGUGCCUGAUGACACCUUAAUCAUGAUCAGAGAAGAUGGAGCCAUUUAUUUCUGGUCCCUGCAGCUGAAGUUGAAAAGAAGAAAGCGAGUUUUUGACAAGCCCAUCAUUCGGAAGCGCCGGUGGGUGACGGAUGCCACCAGCAUGCCACAGUACAACAAACUGAUCCUAGGAACUGGAAACCGCGAAAUCCAGCUGUAUGAGUUCUCUAACUUGGAGCCUUACUGUCAGAUUGGUGGCCUGGAAGCUGUCCCUCUGAAACUGGACUACUGGUACGAGGAUCCUGACAAGUGCCUGAUUCUCUAUGGUGAUGACCAGGCUGAAAAAAAACUUAAAAUGAAGGUAGCCUUAAAGAGUUCAUGUUGCCAUCUAGCAAAGUGAUGAGUUGUGCUCCAGAGGGAAAUAAGUUCAGAAGCAUUGGCUGUGCCUGUCUCACCUAACAUCGCCUCACCAUCCUUCAUCGGCUUUCAGAGUCUUCACGGUUUGGAAUCAGGGAUGAGCAUAAGGGAAGCUACAUUGGCAACAUGGCGACAAAAGCAAGGGAAACUCAGUUCAUCAUCAUCAUAUCACAAAGGCUGUCUCCACGAGCGACUUUCCUUGGGCUUCUUCUUUUGUUGCAUCUAGCCCAGGCUUGUGCACUUGAAGAUCAUUUGAUAAUAUUCAUCAGUGUUAUGUUCAGCAUGCUAACCGGUUUCUUAAGAAGGGCAGUA